Molecule: ribosomal RNA, 253 nt
Filed under: uncultured bacterium
Lineage: Bacteria
Description: partial 16S ribosomal RNA
Rfam family: Bacterial small subunit ribosomal RNA
Source: RNAcentral
UACGGAGGAUGCAAGCGUUAUCCGGAAUGAUUGGGCGUAAAGCGUCCGCAGGUGGCUGUGUAAGUCUGCUGUUAAAGAGUGAGGCUCAACCUCAUAAAGGCAGUGGAAACUACAUGGCUAGAGUACGUUCGGGGCAGAGGGAAUUCCUGGUGUAGCGGUGAAAUGCGUGGAGAUCAGGAAGAACACCGGUGGCGAAGGCGCUCUGCUAGGCCGUAACUGACACUGAGGGACGAAAGCUAGGGGAGCGAAUGGG